Molecule: ribosomal RNA, 1343 nt
Filed under: uncultured bacterium
Lineage: Bacteria
Description: 16S ribosomal RNA
Rfam family: Bacterial small subunit ribosomal RNA
Source: RNAcentral
GACGAACGCUGGCGGCGUGCUUAACACAUGCAAGUCGAACGGAAAGGCCCUGCUUUUGUGGGGUGCUCGAGUGGCGAACGGGUGAGUAACACGUGAGUAACCUGCCCUUGACUUUGGGAUAACUUCAGGAAACUGGGGCUAAUACCGGAUAGGAGCUCCUGCUGCGUGGUGGGGGUUGGAAAGUUUCGGCGGUUGGGGAUGGACUCGCGGCUUAUCAGCUUGUUGGUGGGGUAGUGGCUUACCAAGGCUUUGACGGGUAGCCGGCCUGAGAGGGUGACCGGCCACAUUGGGACUGAGAUACGGCCCAGACUCCUACGGGAGGCAGCAGUGGGGAAUAUUGCACAAUGGGCGGAAGCCUGAUGCAGCAACGCCGCGUGCGGGAUGACGGCCUUCGGGUUGUAAACCGCUUUCGCCUGUGACGAAGCGUGAGUGACGGUAAUGGGUAAAGAAGCACCGGCUAACUACGUGCCAGCAGCCGCGGUGAUACGUAGGGUGCGAGCGUUGUCCGGAUUUAUUGGGCGUAAAGGGCUCGUAGGUGGUUGAUCGCGUCGGAAGUGUAAUCUUGGGGCUUAACCCUGAGCGUGCUUUCGAUACGGGUUGACUUGAGGAAUGUAGGGGAGAAUGGAAUUCCUGGUGGAGCGGUGGAAUGCGCAGAUAUCAGGAGGAACACCAGUGGCGAAGGCGGUUCUCUGGGCCUUUCCUGACGCUGAGGAGCGAAAGCGUGGGGAGCGAACAGGCUUAGAUACCCUGGUAGUCCACGCUGUAAACGGUGGGUACUAGGUGUGGGGUCCAUUCCACGGGUUCCGUGCCGUAGCUAACGCUUUAAGUACCCCGCCUGGGGAGUACGGCCGCAGGGCUAAAACUCAAAGGAAUUGACGGGGCCCCGCACAAGCGGCGGAGCAUGCGGAUUAAUUCGAUGCAACGCGUAGAACCUUACCUGGGUUUGACAUGGAUCGGGAGUGCACAGAGAUGGGUGUGCCUCUUUUGGGGUCGGUUCACAGGUGGUGCAUGGCUGUCGUCAGCUCGUGUCGUGAGAUGUUGGGUUAAGUCCCGCAACGAGCGCAACCCUUGUUCACUGUUGCCAGCACGUUAUGGUGGGGACUCAGUGGAGACCGCCGGGGUCAACUCGGAGGAAGGUGGGGAUGACGUCAAGUCAUCAUGCCCCUUAUGUCCAGGGCUUCACGCAUGCUACAAUGGCUGGUACAGAGAGUGGCGAGCCUGUGAGGGUGAGCGAAUCUCGGAAAGCCGGUCUCAGUUCGGAUUGGGGUCUGCAACUCGACCUCAUGAAGUCGGAGUCGCUAGUAAUCGCAGAUCAGCAACGCUGCGGUGAAUACGUUCCCGGG